AACGAACGCUGGCGGCGCGUUCUAAGCAUGCAAGUCGGGCGGCAAGGUGCAGCAAUGCAUCCUAGAGCGGCGGACUGGUGAGUAACGCGUGGGUGACCUACCCUUAGGUUGGGGAUAGCCGUUAGAAAUAGCGGGUAAUACCGGAUGUGGUUGCGAGACUGUGGUUUUGCAAAGAAAGGCGCUUUGGCGCCGCCUGAGGAUGGGCCCGCGUCCCAUUAGCUAGUUGGAGAGGUAAGAGCUUACCAAGGCGAAGAUGGGUAGCCGGCCUGAGAGGGUGAACGGCCACACUGGGACUGAGAUACGGCCCAGACUCCUACGGGAGGCAGCAGCUAAGAAUAUUCCGCAAUGGACGAAAGUCUGACGGAGCGACGCCGCGUGGAUGAAGAAGGCCGUGAGGUUGUAAAGUCCUUUUGUCACUGAAGAAUAAGCGGGGGAGGGAAUGCCCUCGUGAUGACGUUAGGUGGCGAAUAAGCCCCG
RNAcentral lists this ribosomal RNA (477 nucleotides) under uncultured Treponema sp. Its description in RNAcentral is "bacterial SSU rRNA". It matches the Rfam family "Bacterial small subunit ribosomal RNA", at positions 29 to 495 of the family's 1533-position model. The record is from RNAcentral. Lineage: Bacteria; Pseudomonadati; Spirochaetota; Spirochaetia; Treponematales; Treponemataceae.